CUCGGAUCAGGUAGGGAUACCCGCUGAA
This 28-nucleotide ribosomal RNA is filed under the name Ramalina montagnei. Its description in RNAcentral is "partial 25S ribosomal RNA". The record is from RNAcentral. Lineage: Eukaryota; Fungi; Ascomycota; Lecanoromycetes; Lecanorales; Ramalinaceae. RNAcentral also lists the same sequence under 1 other name.